CCUACGGGUGGCUGCAGUGAGGAAUAUUGGUCAAUGGUCGGGAGCCUGAACCAGCCAAGCCGCGUGAGGGAUGAAGGUACAGAGUAUCGUAAACCUCUUUUGUCAGGGAACAAAGGCGGGUACGUUUCCCCUGAUGAGUGUACCUUACGAAAAAGCAUCGGCUAACUCCGUGCCAGCAGCCGCGGUAAUCCGGAGGAUGCGAGCGUUAUCCGGCUUUAUUGGGUUUAAAGGGUGCGCAGGCGGUCUGUUAAGUCAGCGGUCAAAGCCCGGGGCUCAACCCCGGCCAGCCGUUGAAACUGGCAGUCUCGAGUGGGAGAGAAGGAUGCGGAAGGCGCGGUGUAGCGGUGAAAUGCAUAGAUAUCGCGCAGAACUCCGAUUGCGAAGGCAGCAUGCCGGAUCCACACUGACGCUGAGGCACGAAAGCGUGGGUAUCGAACAGGAUUAGAUACCCUAGUAGUC
This 459-nucleotide ribosomal RNA is filed under the name uncultured bacterium. Its description in RNAcentral is "partial 16S ribosomal RNA". It matches the Rfam family "Bacterial small subunit ribosomal RNA", at positions 338 to 795 of the family's 1533-position model. The record is from RNAcentral.